GAUGGACGCUGGCGGCGUGCCUAAUACAUGCAAGUCGAGCGAACGGACGAGAAGCUUGCUUCUCUGAUGUUAGCGGCGGACGGGUGAGUAACACGUGGAUAACCUACCUAUAAGACUGGGAUAACUUCGGGAAACCGGAGCUAAUACCGGAUGAUAUUUUGAACCGCAUGGUUCAAAAGUGAAAGACGGUCUUGCUGUCACUUAUAGAUGGAUCCGCGCUGCAUUAGCUAGUUGGUAAGGUAACGGCUUACCAAGGCAACGAUGCAUAGCCGACCUGAGAGGGUGAUCGGCCACACUGGAACUGAGACACGGUCCAGACUCCUACGGGAGGCAGCAGUAGGGAAUCUUCCGCAAUGGGCGAAGGCCUGACGGAGCAACGCCGCGUGAGUGAUGAAGGUCUUCGGAUCGUAAAACUCUGUUAUUAGGGAAGAACAUAUGUGUAAGUAACUGUGCACAUCUUGACGGUACCUAAUCAGAAAGCCACGGCUAACUACGUG
This 497-nucleotide ribosomal RNA is filed under the name uncultured bacterium. RNAcentral's name for it is "partial 16S ribosomal RNA". It matches the Rfam family "Bacterial small subunit ribosomal RNA", at positions 28 to 507 of the family's 1533-position model. The record is from RNAcentral.